Anas platyrhynchos (mallard) is the source of this 6949-nucleotide non-coding RNA. NCBI's taxonomy places the organism in Eukaryota, Metazoa, Chordata, Aves, Anseriformes, Anatidae. The record is from RefSeq and is a predicted model, not a curated record.
UACAACUUCGGCUUUCAUUGCAAAAUAUUUACCGUGGUGGUGAAGCCAAGUUUCUCUCUCACCUCCAACAUAAGCUUUCGGUCACUGUUACCUUUCAGAUGGAAACUAGGUACCAACCGAAACUGCGUGAGGUGAAGAUCCAGUCUCCAGUCUCCAGCCAAGGUGAGGUUUGAGGACUGGUUGAUCAGCCCUUUCCAGCCCCUGGUCUAAGAUCUUGCAAAGACCUCCGUGAGGAAAUGUGACCAGGGCGAACUGGAAUUGUAGACUGUGUAGAGAAGCAAAACGAAAACACAUCUCCUCAGCGAGCAAAGACAAGAUUUUCCCAGCCUUGCGCCAAGUGCGAUUUCUCUGCGGUGUGCUUGGAACUGCGACGCGGCUGCCUUUCAUCUACAAUCCAUUCCCCGAGUCGAUGGCGCAGGACCUGGCAGAAGGGGAAGAUGAGAAGGGGAAAGGAUUUCAAGAUGCUUCUGAGUAAAAAAACACUCAUUUGAGGAGAGCUGCUAAACACUUCAGUGACUUUCCAACUGCUUCCUGGGGGAAGGUGUGGAAAACCUAAUGUAUGAGCAUUGGAACACACGUGGGCAUCCCACUGGGCCACUUCAUCCUGGUGAGGGUGUGUGGUCAUGAAAAGAAUGGGUGCUCAGAUAAAGAAUAUCUGAAACAUCUGGAAAAAAAAAAAUGAAAAAAGCCUGUUUAAAAAGUCCUUUGUCCAUCUUGUCUCUUGCUAACUGUUGACUACAUAAAGAAAUAAGAGAUGAGGGGAAAAAAAUCAACACAAGCCACUCAAGUCUGGGAGAACUGGAAUGUGGAGCUUUUUGGCACAAGCUGAGCAGGAGAAGUUUCCAGAAGAAACAAUAUGAGUGAGAGUAUUAUUGCAAAAGGCCACAGUGUCAAGUCUGUGCUGUGAGUUAAAAGGAGCCCAUAAAAUCUACUCAUGAGAAGUGGAGCCAGAACAAGGUCUGGAGUUAACUCCUUAAAGUCUUCAAAACAGUUGAUAACCAUCAGGAGUGACUUCCUUUCUGUGAGGUGCAGAGUCUGGGCAAAGUCCCCUCUUAGCCAUCACCCAGAAAGCUAUAAGAAGAAAAAAGCAGAUCAAGCAAGCUGAUGAGUGUUUUAUGCAAUGCAAUAAAUCCUUUUUCCAGAUCAGCUUUUUAAUUUAAACUUCAAUUUCAUAUCUAUUUUUAAUGUUUCUUUCAAAAAUAAAGAAUCAUAACAAUAUAAUCCAGUUAUAUUGUAACAAUACAAUCCACACACAUCUCAUUCUACCAUCAUUGUUAACAAAAAUUAUUGCACUCCAGUAGCUGCACGAAGCCAAACCCUACCAUGGACUUUCAAACUGAUAACAAAGUAGGAAAAAAUAAAUUCCAAUAGCUUUAUAAAUUUUUUUUUUCCAUUCAAACACUUUGCAAACACUGAGCAGUGAAUGCCUAUGUUACACAUCAAUUUCUCCUCCUCUCUAUAAAUUUAAUGAGUCCUUAAAGAUAUUUGAAGACUUACUAGUCUAAAGAAGUAAAGUAGAAAGAGAAAUUUCAGACCAUUGUCUAAAUAAUAUAUGAAAGUGGCUGCAAGACUAGUGUGUGUCAUGUUUGUCACUUUCAUGGCGGACAGGACAUGUGAUAAUGGUUUAGAUCACAACCAAGAAGAUUUAUAUUACAUGUUUUCAAAGACUUUUUAUUUACAAGGAACAGAAAACAUGGAUUUGGAGUCUAAAGGCAAUGUGAGAUCUCUGGCAGUAGGAGGAUACGUGUCAUGGUGAUAACAAGGUAAAAUUGUCUGAGACCAUGUAGAAAGCUGAGACGGGAACUAAGAUCUUAGGCAGAUUCUCAUUCUCACAGUUCUCACCUUCUGCUUACCUUCCAGAGUGCCUUUUCUUUGCAGAGUGCCUCUGAUCAUGCAGACCAGGAGCAGCUGAUGAGUAGGCUACAGACCAGCCCUGGCCUGUCCACACUUCCCCUUCUGUUUCUGUGUUUUGGACAUCCCUGUUUGGAUCACUGGUGUUGACAGAUAUUUGGGGAACAAGAAGAAAGAAUAUGGCAAAAUUUGGAAAAGAUUUUGGGUGCUUCCCCCAAAUGGCAGGUGCUCAGCAUCUUUUGAAAAUCAAUUUACUUAAUGCUGACACCUAAACCAGAAAGUAAUAGUAAAUGAAAUUAAUCUUACUGUUACUUUUGCCUCAUAACAACAGAAAUAGCUGGUGUUUAACACACACAAGAAUAAAUAUCAUAUCUCCAUCUCAUAGGGGCAGAGCUUAAAGGGGCAAUCAAACUGAAAUGCAUUGGAAAGGCAGAAAGAAGUGUAACACAGAAGCAAAGGCAAACUAAUGAAAGUCAGAAUGAAUUUAUGAGGCACCUUAGUGAAACAAGUGGUUAUGCUGAAGAUGAACCAAUGGCAUUUACUCUUUUAAGUCUGCAUGUAGUACGGAACUCACAUGAUUCGAAAGGUAAUAAAUUUCAUGGCAAAUGGUCAUGAUUAUAUUUGCACAGAGAAAGCCUUUGCCCAAAGCAAGUGGGUGUGGUUAGUGAAAGAUUCAAUUAGGCUAUUUAAUGCUAGUUGCACAACUGUUUUGUUCAAAGACUCGUACUAUGUUCUGUCAAAGGUUACACCCCUGAAAUGGUGACAAAAAUGAAUUGAAUUUGAGCAGCUUUUCUCUGCCCAACAGAUGGAUCUUGUUCUUUUAGAGUGAUAUCAUACAGAAAAUUAUAAGCAAAUGAAGUCCAAUUCCAUAUGCAUUGUGACAGAAUAUAUAUAAUAAAUGUACUUUUUACUUUAUCACCCAGAAAAUGCUCAGACAAUACAGUCUCAAAACUUGACAUGGAACCACUGAGCAGCGAUCAGAAGUUAUUAGCAUUUAUUAGUGGUCCUGCAGGAACACCUGUGCCUAGAUGCAGCUCAGAAACCCCACCUCACUGUUAGGCAAACACGAAGCAAUACUCCACCCCGGUGUCAACAGGAAUUUACAGUCUUGGCAUACCAAGCAGCCUUUGCAACAAAGCUGCGCAGCUCAGCCGCUGUCCAGGGCAGUGCUUGAACCCAGGGCCUGCAGCACCGUGGAGAGCUCCACACCCUACAGAGCAGCCCUGCCUCUGCCGGCCCGGAGGAUCACUCAUCCUGGUGGGAGAUGACUGCAAGUUAGGUAGAUGUCUGAAAGCCUCGUUCUGUCUGGGCAUGACCAGCCACAGAUUUUCUGUGACAGCACAGGCAGGUCGGACAUGGCCAUGCUGACUCUCAGCACAGCUCCACCUACACCAUCAAGGUUCUUUUCCAACCCAAUGCUCUUAGCAAAGGAAGAAGGGGAGUCCACAGUGACAGUCUGACCUCCCUUUCCUUGGAAGGCGAUUAACAGUAAUGAUGGAUAUGAUCAGAUGUAUUGGCUGUGAGUCCUCAUCAGUCCACAACUGAGAAGGGUCCUCCAUGCUCUGUGUGCACCCAGCAUUGCUAUUCACUUUCCUGAAGCAACACGGGUAUUAAAUACCUCCAGUUAUUUGGGUUGGUGCUUUGCUUUUAUUUCCUGCAUUUAUUAAUUAGUAGUAGUGCAUGAGGUCACUAUGCAACAAGACAGGAGCACCACCAAAUACAUUAAGAAAGUAAAAUAACACAAACAGCUUGAGUUACAGAAGUAAACUGUAAAAAAUAAAGCAACAAUACAAAUUGAACUAGCUUACCUUAAGCGAUGUUUUGAUGUACUGAAAGAAUGACUUCUAAUUCUUCUUGAAGGGUUGGAAAAGUCUAGAAAAUAAGUGGUAAAAAAAAAAAAAAAAAAAAAAGGUAACACAAUGCUGCUGCAAUUGUGCUUUCUAGAAGCUAUUCAGAUUCAUCUGCAAAUAGACAGAAUGAGGGAGCUGUUGCUUGGAGAGAUGCUGUGUUAGGGGCACAAGCAGCUUUGAUUCCUUGUGUUGUGCAUAGAAUAUAGUUUCUUGCAGCCAAGAUAUGAAUGAUUGCAAGUGUCUUUGUGAGCCAAAUACAUGCACAAGGAAAAUUACAAAAUAAACUUUGGUUUUACAUGGGGAAGAAAUGACCUUCUUCGUUUUAUUUUGUUUUCCACAGAUACAAUGCCAACUUUCUCCAAAAUGAGAAUUGAGGAUGAAGCAAAGUGGCAACAUGAGAUAUUACAGCAUAAUUUCAGAUCUGCUUCACAUUUCACUUACCAUCCUUGUUUUUCCUUGUGAAACUUGGGGCUGCAGGACCUUCCCUACCAUGAGUUAUACCUUCCUAUUGUUUUUUAACUGCAUGUACCCCUUUACCUUUACUCUUCUUUAGUCAGACGGCAGGCAAAGGAAAGCCUUCCACACAUGGAAUCAGUAUGGAUAAUUUAAUUCACACUAUAGGAAGUGUAACUGCAAAUAGAGACAAGUAAUUAUCUGUAGCCUAAAAACUCUGUAUCUAAGAAGAGGUUGAUUUCUGGUUCUGGAAGGAAAACAUUGAUGAUUAUGUGGGAAUUAGUGCCACAUUUUCUACCGAGUGAGUACGAUUAUUUUUAUGGAAAUAUUUUCAAGGCUGAAAUAUAGGAGCGUUUUGUGAAAUCAUUACUACUGUGAGAAGGACACGUCUCUGAGCUUCCUUUGAAAUGCCUCCUUAUUAUUUGUUAUGUGUGCAUGUUAAAAACAAACAAACAAAAACAGAAAUUGAGUUUUUUUUUAUUAUUAUUAUUAUUAUUAGAGGAUUUGCAACCGUGCACAAGAAGCAACCAACAAUGUGCCGAAGCCACACUGCUGCUUUCCGCUUCAGCCUACAGACAAUUUUGGGAUACAGAUUUGAAGGGCUGUUUCGGAGGUGGGAGAAGACACACGUCUCCCGUGUGCUGAGUGACCUCCACCCAGCGCGCCGACAGAUCCAAGGCAAACGCUUGUAUUUACGGCGAUGACUUUUAUCGUCUCCGGAGAGGAAAACUACCGGGAGAAAAACGACGGGCUGGGGAAGACCUCGAGCUCCGUGUCGUUUAUCGCCGUCUGCCGUCCGUGCUGCUGGAGGAAAAGCCAGAAAGAAAACCAGGCGGCCCAGUCCGGAGAACCCCAGCCCACCACCCGGCAGAGAUUACACACUGCGCCUGCACCCAAACCUUUCCCGUUCAUUCCUGGCCGGCUGCUGCCCUCAACCGCUUCUCCGAGGCUUUUUCAGGUCGUUUUGCCGGGGCCGCCGCUGCCCCCCGCCCGCCAGCCCUGGCUCGGUCGUCGGACGAAGCACGGGCCGGGGACUGCACCCAUGGGGCUCGGACACGAGCAUUAUUUCCUUUAUUAAUCGGUCAUAUGCGGCACCCCCGCACACUUCCCCUCCUCCGGCUCCUUCCACGGCCAAAGCUCCCCCGGCUUUGCCUUUCCUCUUCUCCGAACGCGGCCGCGGACAGCAGAGCGGAGGGGGGUGGCGGCGGGGGAGCCGCUUGCCAUCCUUUGGAAACCGAAAUACCGGGCAGAUUUACUGCAAAACGCUGCGGCGGCCUCUCCGGAAGGGACUUGAAUCUGAGAAUGUCGCUUAGCCAGAGGUUUUAGCCAAAAAAUGGUGCUCUUGUUCAGGCAGCGAUAAAUUUCCCCUCUGGCACGCAGCAAAUUGAACCGCGGCGGGGGGGAAAAGGGGGUCCGAUUCGUGAUGGGAAGGGCUCGCUUCUGAGGCCGGUUGUUUCUCGGCAGUUUUGUCCUUGCGGGUGGGACCCCGGCUCCCCCUGGAGCACACACACACACACCCCGGCAAAAGGGUUGCCCCGGUGCUGUCAACCCCCCCACUUCUGUCAAUCCCUGCACACGCGGGCUCUCUGACGGGGAAAGGAUCCUGAUUUAUACCCAAAGCAUUAUUGGAUUGAAUUACGCUUCCUGAGAGCACCACCGGCCUGGGAGGAAGCACGAGCCUUUGGAGCGGGUUUGGGAGAACUUGGCCCAGAUCCACCCCUCCCUUUGGGGCUCUUAUGGUAUACCUGAGGCCCUUCUGCUCUCAAUGGGUGAUGAAGGGCUUGAUGGUGAAGUGAGCAGCCAGUGUGAGAAGUGUCCCAGAGUGGUAGAGACUUACAGAAGUAUGAAGGGAGAGAACGGAGAACUGGUGUCCACAAAUUUCUUGAGAGAAUUUUGACAUCCGCUUAUUCUCCCACCUGCAUCUGACAUUGCAGCAAAGGGAAGGAAAAAAAAAAAAAAGAGAGAGAGAGAAAUAAGGAGGAAAAGGGGUAACUCCCUUUGGUUAUUCUGUGUUUCUCUAUUUUUCAACACCAAAUAGGGAGAUAAAAGGCAAAACAAAACGAAACAAAUGAACAAAGAGUUCUGGCUAAGCAGAGAUCUCUAAUUAGAUUCUCCCUCUUUUCAUGCAAAGCUGCUCUUGGAGGUGGACAGAUGCUUCAGUGGAGAACUGGAGCCCUGAAGAAUGUGACAGACCUGUACUUGCCACCUCUGUACUGCUCAGCACCAGCAAUGCAGCUCUGCUCAGAGCAAGGGCUGAAGGCAGCAAAGCAAGAAAUGCUCCUGCCCAAAUUUGUGUGGUAGAAGUAUAAAUAAACUGCUCUUUUCAUAGAAACUUUCUAGAAAUUCCACUUACUGAAUCGGUCUUGUUCUUCUCUGGGAUUUUGCUGAAGUCUGGGUUUGUUGUUCAGGUAUCACUGACCUUGCCAGGCAUGGCUGGCAUAUCCCCACUUUGACCUGGAGGAAAAAGAAGAGCCCUGUGUAAUUGGCCUUUUCUUCUUGAAAUCUGAGAGAGGAAGAUUUGAGAAAAAUGGAUUUUGGGAUUGCUUAAAGGUAACAAUUAAUGUUAAUUAAUUAAUUAAUUAAUUAAUAAAGAUUUAUAUUUUGGGAGUGUGCAGCCCUCUAAGGUGGAUGACAUUCAAGGCUCUUAGUGUCCUGGUUUGUUGUGCAGCCAUUCUCCAUGCUCCAGCCAGCAUAACUGAAAUGCUGCCUGUUCACACAGCAUCUUUUCAGACUUUUUUAUGAACUCUGCUGUCAGACAAACUGGAGGACCCUACAGGUUUGCCAAAGUUCAUUGU